RNAcentral lists this ribosomal RNA (506 nucleotides) under uncultured bacterium. RNAcentral describes it as "partial 16S ribosomal RNA". It matches the Rfam family "Bacterial small subunit ribosomal RNA", at positions 29 to 523 of the family's 1533-position model. The record is from RNAcentral.
AGUGAACGCUGGCGGUAGGCCUAACACAUGCAAGUCGAACGGCAGCACAGAGGAGCUUGCUCCUUGGGUGGCGAGUGGCGGACGGGUGAGGAAUACAUCGGAAUCUACUCUGUCGUGGGGGAUAACGUAGGGAAACUUACGCUAAUACCGCAUACGACCUACGGGUGAAAGCAGGGGAUCUUCGGACCUUGCGCGAUUGAAUGAGCCGAUGUCGGAUUAGCUAGUUGGCGGGGUAAAGGCCCACCAAGGCGACGAUCCGUAGCUGGUCUGAGAGGAUGAUCAGCCACACUGGGACUGAGACACGGUCCAGACUCCUACGGGAGGCAGCAGUGGGGAAUAUUGGACAAUGGGCACAAGCCUGAUCCAGCCAUACCGCGUGGGUGAAGAAGGCCUUCGGGUUGUAAAGCCCUUUUGUUGGGAAAGAAAUCCAUCUGGUUAAUACCCGGGUGGGAUGACGGUACCCAAAGAAUAAGCACCGGCUAAUUACGUGCCAGCCGCCGCGGUAA